Molecule: ribosomal RNA, 165 nt
Filed under: uncultured bacterium
Lineage: Bacteria
Description: partial 16S rRNA
Rfam family: Bacterial small subunit ribosomal RNA
Source: RNAcentral
UAGGGAAUCUUCCACAAUGGGCGCAAGCCUGGAUGGAGCAACACCGCGUGAGUGAAGAAGGGUUUCGGCUCGUAAAGCUCUGUUGUUAAAGAAGAACACGUAUGAGAGUAACUGUUCAUACGUUGACGGUAUUUAACCAGAAAGUCACGGCUAACUACGUGCCAG